RNAcentral lists this ribosomal RNA (301 nucleotides) under uncultured bacterium. RNAcentral describes it as "partial 16S ribosomal RNA". It matches the Rfam family "Bacterial small subunit ribosomal RNA", at positions 509 to 807 of the family's 1533-position model. The record is from RNAcentral.
CAGCCGCCACGGUAAUACGGAGGGGGCUAGCGUUGUUCGGAAUUACUGGGCGUAAAGCGCACGUAGGCGGCUUGGUAAGUUAGAGGUGAAAGCCUGGAGCUCAACUCCAGAAUUGCCUUUAAGACUGCCGAGCUAGCAGGUGAGAGAGGUAAGUGGAAUUCCGAGUGUAGAGGUGAAAUUCGUAGAUAUUCGGAAGAACACCAGUGGCGAAGGCGGCUUACUGGCUCAUACUGGACGCUGAGGUGCGAAAGCGUGGGGAGCAAACAGGAUUAGAUACCCCUGUAGUCCCUGUCUCUUAUAC